Molecule: ribosomal RNA, 434 nt
Filed under: uncultured Clostridium sp.
Lineage: Bacteria; Bacillati; Bacillota; Clostridia; Eubacteriales; Clostridiaceae
Description: partial 16S ribosomal RNA
Rfam family: Bacterial small subunit ribosomal RNA
Source: RNAcentral
ACGGGAGGCAGCAGUGGGGAAUAUUGCACAAUGGGGGAAACCCUGAUGCAGCGACGCCGCGUGAGUGAAGAAGUAUUUCGGUAUGUAAAGCUCUAUCAGCAGGGAAGAAAAUGACGGUACCUGACUAAGAAGCCCCGGCUAACUACGUGCCAGUAGCCGCGGUAAUACGUAGGGGGCAAGCGUUAUCCGGAUUUACUGGGUGUAAAGGGAGCGUAGACGGCGAUGCAAGUCUGAUGUGAAAGCCCGGGGCUCAACCCCGGCACUGCAUUGGAAACUGUGUUGCUAGAGUGCAGGAGAGGUAAGUGGAAUUCCUAGUGUAGCGGUGAAAUGCGUAGAUAUUAGGAGGAACACCAGAGGCGAAGGCGGCUUUCUGGACAUUAACUGACGCUGAGGCUCGAAAGCGUGGGGAGCAAACAGGAUUAGAUACCCUGGUA